Molecule: ribosomal RNA, 253 nt
Filed under: uncultured bacterium
Lineage: Bacteria
Description: partial 16S ribosomal RNA
Rfam family: Bacterial small subunit ribosomal RNA
Source: RNAcentral
UACGAAGGGGGCUAGCGUUGCUCGGAAUGACUGGGCGUAAAGGGCGCGUAGGCGGAGGUGACAGUCAGAUGUGAAAUUCCCGGGCUCAACCUGGGGACGGCAUUUGAGACGUUGCCUCUGGAGUGAGGAAGAGGGUCGUGGAAUUCCCAGUGUAGAGGUGAAAUUCGUAGAUAUUGGGAAGAACACCGGUGGCGAAGGCGGCGACCUGGUCCCUAACUGACGCUGAGGCGCGAAAGCGUGGGGAGCAAACAGG